RNAcentral lists this transfer RNA (73 nucleotides) under Zootermopsis nevadensis. It matches the Rfam family "tRNA". Rfam says of the family: Transfer RNA (tRNA) molecules are approximately 80 nucleotides in length. Lineage: Eukaryota; Metazoa; Arthropoda; Insecta; Blattodea; Termopsidae. The record is from Rfam by way of RNAcentral.
GCCACGGCGGUUUAGCGGUUAGAACGCUGGUCUUGUAAUCCUGGGGUCUCGGGUUCGAUUCCCGGCGGUGCCC